AGUAAUUUGGGGGUUGAUUUUAUUGAUCAGUUCUUUAGGAAAGUCUUCUCUGGGGAGCAAUGAUGAGAUUACCAUGUUUGCUAUUGGAAAUUUGGUGGCACUUUAUUUGGAUAGUCAGACUACAGAGACUUUACCGGUUUGUUGAAAUUCAAGGUUCACUGAACAUCACCUUAACCAAACCCAACCCCUAACCCAUAAACUGUAGUUCACAAAGUUUCAACAAAUAUUUUGUGUAAUCUUCAAGAGCCUUUUUUUGCCACCAUUUGUUUUAUUCUGCAACCACUUUUUUUGAUUUUAGGUUGUUUUUUCCUGUGGUGGUAAUGGUGUUUUGUGGGUCUUUUACAGUGGAUGGACAUUUUGUUGUGGGGCACCAGACCUUAGCAACUCUGUGUUGUGGGAAAGAGCUUUAAGUGGUCAAGGAUGCAGUCUGGAGCUGUUUUGAUGUUUUGCCAGUCAUAGCUGAGAUGGUAGUAAGACUGGUAAGCUGUUCAGUAAAGGACAAUUUAUAGUCCAUUCAGUAAGUAUCACUCUACAAGAAAAGAUUGUCAAAUUUGAAAAAAGUGUAUACUCUCUGAUUGGAUGGCAACUCAAAGUUCUACGUUCUGGUGUGUUGCCGUGGUCACAAUGUGCGGCUGUGUUUACUUUGUGGUUUCGCAAUUAGAUGUAACUGUCAACGAUGGGUGGAAGAAUCUACGAUCCGCUUACCGGAAGUAAUUUUAAGAUCAGUCACCUGAGUGAAACGGAAAACAGGAUUUUUUGAUUGGCUAAUACCAGGACUUUUUUGUUGAGCUACGAUGUCGAUUGCCUGACUUUUAGACGAUUGUUUUUUUUGUUUCGUUUUUUUAUUCUGUUUUUAUUUUAUUUUUUAUUCUGUACAGCUUAACAACUGGAUUGUUAACCAAACUUUUACGAAGUCAUACCGCUGAACACACCCGACUUGUUAACCAAUCUUUUAUACCGUGACAAAUACGAUUAUAAUAGUUGCAAGCUAGCGUAACUAAACUAAGCGUUAAGUUAGCUUGGUAGUCAAACUAUUGACGUCUUGGUUUGGCUGUUUAUUUCACAUGGAUUUAAUUUUGACAACACGUCACUUAACUUGAAUGUGCCUACAGCACGCAACAUCAUAUUUUUUCUGUUUUCUGUUCCAGAGAUAUUUUUAUUUGUACCAGUUCAGCAGCCAACGCAUUGUUG
Molecule: long non-coding RNA, 1191 nt
Organism: Clupea harengus (Atlantic herring)
Lineage: Eukaryota; Metazoa; Chordata; Actinopteri; Clupeiformes; Clupeidae
Source: Ensembl